UACGUAGGGUGCGAGCGUUGCCCGGAUUUAUUGGGCGUAAAGGGCGCGCAGGCGGUACGGCACGUCCGUUGUGAAAUCGCUCGGCUCAACUGGGCGGGGUCAGCGGAUACGGCCGCACUUGAGCAAGCUAGGGGGCAAUGGAAUUCCCGGUGUAGUGGUGGAAUGCGUAGAUAUCGGGAGGAACACCAGUGGCGAAGGCGGUUGCCUGGAGCUUUGCUGACGCUGAGACGCGAAAGCGUGGGGAGCGAACAGG
Molecule: ribosomal RNA, 253 nt
Filed under: uncultured bacterium
Lineage: Bacteria
Description: partial 16S ribosomal RNA
Rfam family: Bacterial small subunit ribosomal RNA
Source: RNAcentral